RNAcentral lists this long non-coding RNA (5337 nucleotides) under Sus scrofa (pig). Its description in RNAcentral is "lncRNA (ENSSSCG00000058557.1)". The record is from RNAcentral. Lineage: Eukaryota; Metazoa; Chordata; Mammalia; Artiodactyla; Suidae.
AGCCACCUUCAUUAAUGAUCUUAACUAGAUCUUCUGGAUAACUUGCUGUAGCUUCUAUGUCAUCACUUGCUGCUUCAUCUUGAACUUUUAUUUUGCUGAGAUGAUUCUUUCUUUCAACUUUAUGAAUCAACUUCUGUUAGCUUUGAACUUUUCUUUUGCAGCUUUCCUUGCCUUUCUCAGCUUUCAUAGAAUUGACGAGAGUUAGGGCCUUGCUCUGGUUUAGGCUUUGGCUUAAGGGAACGUUGUGGCUGGUUUGAUCUUCUAUCCAGACCACUAAAACUUUUUCCAAAUCAGCAAUAAUGCUGUUUGGCUUUCUUAUCACUCAUGUGUUCACUGAAAGAGCGCUUUUCAUUUCCUUCAAGAACUUUUCCUUUGCAGUCACAACUUGGCUGCUUGGCACAAAGAGCUCUUGGCCUGUCUUGGCUUUUGACAUGCCUUUCUUGCAAAGCUUAAUCAUUUCUAACUUUUGAUUUAAAGUGAGAGAUAUAUAUACUCGUCCUUUCACUUGAACACCUAGAGGCCAUUUUAAGGUAAUUAACUGCCCUGAUUUCAACACCAUUGUGUCUCAGGCAAGAGGGAAGCCCAAGGAGAGAGAGAGAGAGAGAAAGACAUCAGAACAGCAAGUCAGUGGAGCAUUCAGAAUACACACAACAUUUAUUAAGUUUAUGGUCUUAUAUGGGCAUGGUUUGUGGCACCUCAAAACAAUUAAAAUAGUAACAUCAAAUAUCACUAAUCACCAAUCACUGUAACAGCCAAAAAUACCCUAGUACUUUGGUUUGUGUGUCUGUUUGAAUAAUAUGAAAAUAAAUUUUGUGUAUAACUAUAUCUCAGUAUGAAUUAGCACUCAACUAAUGAUAAAUGAUGAGUAAAAUGAUGCAUUUUGUAUAAUUUUAAUUAUUUCCAUAGUAAUAAGAAAUGAUAAACUUGCUACUUAAAAUUUUCAGUCAUGUUUGGGUCAUCUAAGUCACAAAGGAGCAAUGAUUAACAAAGACUGAUUUUUACUAUGCUAUUGCAUAAUAUAUGCCAAGAUGCUGACUACUUAAAGAAACCUUAUUAUAAGCAAAUAAACUCUCAGGAAAUCAGUCUUCUUGAAAGUUUCUUUUUCUUUCCAUAGAAGCUGCAUUACCUUUGCAUUUUCUUCUUGAAAAAUGAUGUUUUAUCUAAAAUGUGAAAUAAUUUUAUUUUAAAAUAUCACGGAUAACAGUGAUUAGCACUUAAUUACAUAAUCUCCUAUUCUUAAGUCAUUUUAAAUGUAGAUCUUAUCUUCUUGAAGUUGUUUUAUAUUUAUCAGGAAGAUAGACUUUUCAAAUCAACACACAUAUAUCGACUUACUCCUUUCAUAUAACUAAAAAAUAUUUGCUUUGUCUAACCAUAAUUUGACAAUAUUUUACAUGAGAAAUUUAAUUAAACUUGUGAAAAUAGAAGCUAAUAUUUAUGCCCUAUAUUUCUGUAUAUAUGUUUUCAUUCUUAUGAAUGUUUAGCAAAAUGUGGAAAGAUACAUACUAUACUAAUUAUAUGAAGCCUGAAGAUGGAGGUAAUGUUAUGAAUUAGGCAGAUUACAUUAUUCUGGGGCAGCAAGUGAUCCCCAAAUCUCAGGGCUUUAAAACAGAGACUUAUUUUUCAUUCCUGCUGCUCUCCCAUUCAUCAUGAUAGGCUGGAUUAUGGAGAGCCACCAUCUCAUACACUGCCAGUAGCUGAGCCAGAAGGAAAGAGAAGUUACAUUCUUACUUAAGAAGAAUGUAACUCUGGCCGGGAAGUAACACCUUCACUUACAACUCACAGGUUGGAGUUUCCAACCACCAAAUGGCCAGCAAAUGAAAUCCUACCCCAUUCCUGGAAGGCACAGAGCCAGAAAUAAUUGUUCACCAACACUAGAACUACCAUAGGUGGGGUGCAAUUGCUAAUGUGUUCUUCAUUCUUGGUAUUGCUUAUGUUUUUCAUUUAGAGUAAAGAAGCCAUCCUGACAAUAUUUAUAAUCUAGAGGCAGUUCUUUCAUCAUCAUCCUUUCCUCUUCAUCACUGUUGCUUUAAUUAUAUAAAAAGAGAGGCAGAAAUGUAUAAAGGAAACCCAGGCUUCAUUGAGCACUUCUCUAGUCUCAGACUUUGUUAGGAAAUUGUUGUGAUGCAAAAUGUAUGAAAAGAUCCCAUCUCAACUGACUUGGAUUCCAGCAGAGAAAGCAAGUGAUGUAAGAAUAUAACAUUAUAAAUGGCACACAGGCUGGAAGCCUGGCUAGAAGAGGCAUGUUGAAGAAAGUGUAGGAUUUUAUUAUCACCUCAGAUCCUGGUCCACUUUUUUCCUACGAGUAUUUUUUAGCAAAAACCAGAAAUGACAUAGCCUUGUUCUGAUGGAAAAAGGUGGUGUAAGUAGAUCAGUUUAAGUGGAGGACUCAGAAAAUCUAUUAAUGAUGAAAAAAUUUAGAAAGAUUGGGGGCAACCAAAAUUUAAAAACUUAAGAAUGUGGGCUUCAUAAGUGUAGUGAGUAUAAAGGAAAAGUUAACAGGCAUAUGAAAUGAAGACUAAGAUAUUUUGUUGAUAUGAGACUACAGUCCCUGAAUAUGAAUAUAGUUAAUAAGAACUGAGCAUUGCAUCACUUUCUCUCCCUAAACUGCAAUUCCAAGCUAUGAUUUCAUAGUCCCAGUGAUACAGGAGAUCAAGACUAAGUUAAUACAGCAAGACAUUUUCUUUCUACUUAUCUUUCAAAUCAACAUGGUGUUUUGUGUGAAGUGAGGUGAGUUCAAUUCAUUGCUAGAGAGGCUCCAUAUCACUACCCAUUUUCUGUCAUGAUUUACAAUUUCACUGUCAUUUCAUUAUUGCAGAGUGAAACAGUGAGGUGUGUUUUUGUUUUUUUUUUUAACCUGUUGAAGCAUAAGUCAGGGAACCUAACAUCCUCUACAUUCUUUAUUGGAUCCGAGUUUUAAAAAGAUUUGUAAGUAUAAGAUGAUGAGAUGAUUCAAAUAAAUGAAGAAAUAAAGCCAGUUCUAAGGUGGAAAGACAAUAAUAUUAAAAUAUCUGAACUAAAAAAUGUAUAAUUAUAAAGAAUGCAUACUUGAAAUGCUAUUUGAAAUAUCAUAAGACUAUUUCAAGAAGCUAAAAAUGAUAAAUUUCUGUAAUGUAAUAGAAUUUUUUUGGUCAAAUCUUGUUUGUUUAGUAACUAGUUUACUGACUGAAAAAAUUCAAGCUAUAAAUAAUCAGAAUGUUAUAUUCAAACAAAUAACCCACUAUUUGCCUUUUUUUGGGGGGGGGUAAACCUGGUUUUAUCAGAAAGUUUGAAAAAUAUCUUUAAAACUAGUUUAUAUAUGUUCUUGGCUCUUUUGGAAUGUUCAGAUUCAAACAAAUAUUUAAUUCCCAUUUUGGGAAAGUUGUGGUUUAUUUAUGUGUUUUUACCAGAUUAAGAAGGAAUUAUUUAACAUAAAAAGAGCUUGCCUAUUUUGUAAAUGCAUUUUGAUUAUCAUCUAUACAAUACAUCUAAUUUAAAUUAAGAUAUACUCUAUAUUUCAGUCUCACACUCUGAGGGAUUUGCAUAUACUCCAGUUUCUGCCAUGAAUAAUGUAAAUGUAUUUUACAAAAUAUAUGAUCUUCCAAAUUCACUUGAUUUAAGGUUUCUAAAUAUAACUAGAAAUAGAUAAUUCUACUUGGUAAGUUUUAACUUUCCUCAGCUGCACAAUGUCAUGAUGGUAAAUGCUAUCAUUAAACAGACAAGAACUCAGGAUUCUUCGAAGCCAGUAAGUUGGUAACAUGGGAAUCCCUUAGUUAAGACCCCCUUUAUAAGACUCUUCUUAAUAAAUCUGAUCAUGUAAAAAGCUUAGUAGGGGUAGUUCUGAUCUUAAAAAUUAAAGGAAAGAAGAAAUUCUUAAUCAUAUGACUAUGAGAGAGUUUAGAGUUUGUCUUUACAUCUAGUAUUUGAAGCAAUUAGUAAAAAGUUGACACUUCAAAUUAAAACAACACAAUGAGAAGUUAGACUGUUGUCUCUUCUUAUGAAGUUAACUCUCAGCAGUUAUUACCAACUUUAGUGCUCAGAAUCUCACCUUAACUUUGUUCUGAUUUGAUUUUUUCAUAACACAUUAAGAUCACAUUGUAAGACAUUCAUUGGCCUGUAGCCAAAAAUAAUAAAAUUCUGACCUGAUCUGCCUCCCUUUUGAAAAGCAGAAAAGAUCCCAAGAGAUUGCAAUUUUAGAUCUCACACAUAAUUUCCCAUUCCCCUCCUAUAAAUCAGGCUUCUGUAGAACAGUGAGUUAUACCAUUCACAUUUCUGCAGAUACUAAAAUUCCCCAUGCAUUUCCCAGCCUGCAUUCUUCAAAAAAAGAGAUGUUAGCAGAGAUUGUUAAGAGUUGUGGUAGUAGAAAAGAAUUGGCCAGAUUCCAAUUUGUAGAACUUGUUGACAUUCUGCCAAUUCCUUUAUUAAUGCAUGUUGCUAAGCAGAGCUGAUAUUCAGGCAGUACGUUCUAGCAUAGCCAUACAGAUUUUGAAAUAUUUCCAUUCUAGUGGGUAAAUAGCCACUACUUCGUGCUUCGUAGUAUCUCCUUCCUGACCUGAGCUUACCUAUUGGCUCCUUCCUCUAUCUCCCCCUCCAGCCCAACUUACUAUUUUUCUUCUACAAAAUAAUGUUUAACAGGAUAAGAGGCCUUUAGGACCUUGCUCUAGCUAGCAUAGGGAUGGCCCCUUGUUUGAUUGGUCAACGCUCGCUCUCUAGCAGUUGUUGAAUACUUUGAAUAUAACUCUUGUUCCUAGGCCUAAGUAUAUUUCUAGGCAUGUGUAACAGAAAUAGAAAUGGGGGAAAGAUGGCCAUAAUGAGUCAAUACCGAAGCAGCUGAGAUAUCUCACAAAGUUGGAAUAUUGCCUGGAGCCUGUUUGUCAGUACCUACUCUUCUCCUCCCUACAAUUAAGGGGUUCCCUGUUCUGUUAGAGAACAUAUCUUGGUGGCUACUAUUUCCCAGACAUCAUGAAUACAAGAAUUUGAUGAGUGUUUUGCUCAAAAAGCUAAAUCAAGAAAAGCAGAGCUGACAUAAAAAGUCUAUGGUGAGAGUUCUCUUGUGGCACAGCGGGUUAAGGAUCUACUGUUGUCACCUCAGUGGCUUGGGUGGCUAUGGGCACAGCCAAAUUUUUUUUUUUUAAAAAAAGGUGUUUAAGGAGUUCCCGUCAUGACGCAGUGGUUAACGAAUCCGACUAAGAACCAUGAGGUUGUGGGUUCGAUCCCUGGCCUUGCUCAGUGGGUUAGGGAUCCGGUGUUGCCGUGAGCUGUGGUGUGGGUUGCAGAUGAGGCUCGGAUCCAGCAUUGCUGUGGCUCUGGCCUAGGCCGGUGGCUACAGCUCCCAUUAGACCCCUAGUCUGGGAACCUCCA